Molecule: transfer RNA, 85 nt
Filed under: Acidobacteriota bacterium
Lineage: Bacteria; Pseudomonadati; Acidobacteriota
Also listed under: 2 other names
Description: Acidobacteria bacterium tRNA-Leu
Rfam family: tRNA
About the family: Transfer RNA (tRNA) molecules are approximately 80 nucleotides in length.
Source: RNAcentral
GCGGAUGUGGCGAAAUUGGCAGACGCGCCAGACUUAGGAUCUGGUUUCGAAAGAAGUGGAGGUUCAAGUCCUCUCAUCCGCACCA